This 497-nucleotide ribosomal RNA is filed under the name uncultured bacterium. RNAcentral describes it as "partial 16S ribosomal RNA". It matches the Rfam family "Bacterial small subunit ribosomal RNA", at positions 28 to 507 of the family's 1533-position model. The record is from RNAcentral.
GAUGAACGCUGGCGGCGUGCCUAAUACAUGCAAGUCGAGCGAACAGACGAGGAGCUUGUUCCUCUGACGUUAGCGGCGGACGGGUGAGUAACACGUGGAUAACCUACCUAUAAGACUGGGAUAACUUCGGGAAACCGGAGCUAAUACCGGAUAAUAUAUUGAACCGCAUGGUUUAAUAGUGAAAGACGGUUUUGCUGUCAUCUAUAGAUGGAUCCGCGCCGCAUUAGUUAGUUGGUAAGGUAACGGCUUACCAAGGCAACGAUGAGUAGCCGACCUGAGAGGGUGAUCGGCCACACUGGAACUGAAACACGGUCCAGACUCCUACGGGAGGCAGCAGUAGGGAAUCUUCCGCAAUGAGCGAAAGCCUGACGGAGCAACGCCCCGUGAUUGAUGAAGGUCUUCGGAUCGUAAAACUCUGUUAUUAGGGAAGAACAAAUGUGUAAGUAACUAUGCACGUCUUGACGGUACCUAAUCAGAAAGCCACGGCUAACUACGUG